UAGGGAAUCUUCCGCAAUGGACGAAAGUCUGACGGAGCGACGCCGCGUGAGCGAAGAAGGUCUUCGGAUCGUAAAGCUCUGUUGUUAGGGAAGAAGAAGUGCCGUUCGAACAGGGCGGCACGGUGACGGUACCUAACGAGAAAGCCCCGGCUAACUACGUGCCAGCAGCCGCGGUAAUACGUAGGGGGCGAGCGUUGUCCGGAAUUAUCGGGCGUAAAGCGCGCGCAGGCGGUCCCUUAAGUCUGAUGUGAAAGCCCACGGCUUAACCGUGGAGGGUCAUUGGAAACUGGGGGACUUGAGUGCAGAAGAGGAGAGCGGAAUUCCACGUGUAGCGGUGAAAUGCGUGGAGAUGUGGAGGAACACCAGUGGCGAAGGCGGCUCUCUGGUCUGUAACUGACGCUGAGGCGCGAAAGCGUGGGGAGCAAACAGG
This 430-nucleotide ribosomal RNA is filed under the name Bacillota bacterium. RNAcentral describes it as "Firmicutes bacterium partial 16S ribosomal RNA". It matches the Rfam family "Bacterial small subunit ribosomal RNA", at positions 355 to 776 of the family's 1533-position model. The record is from RNAcentral. Lineage: Bacteria; Bacillati; Bacillota.